AUCAGCUGAUAGUCCAUCUGAUCUCUCACUUUGGGAAGUGCGACAGUAAUGCUAGUGAGUGUCACUAGGCUUAUGGUCCAGCAGUUUGAAGGUUCUACUGAAUGCAGUACUGGAACUUGGUGGCAGUAAAUAUCUGCCACCCCAGAAAAGCUGCUAGAUUUUCUUAGCAAAUUAACGAGUUGAGUUGGCUGUCGUUUCCUUCCUGUGUCUACAAGUCGGCUUGCAUUACCAGAUAUGUUCUUAAAGAUUCUUUCAGGAAGUUCCUCUUCGCCUUCAAGUAACAGAACAUAAUGGUGCAAUUCAGUCUCUCUCAUGUGUUCUGGUUCUGAUUGAUGAUAGUUUGGGCCCUGAA
This 352-nucleotide unclassified non-coding RNA is filed under the name Hevea brasiliensis (rubber tree). Lineage: Eukaryota; Viridiplantae; Streptophyta; Magnoliopsida; Malpighiales; Euphorbiaceae. The record is from RNAcentral.